Cygnus atratus (black swan) is the source of this 2171-nucleotide long non-coding RNA. RefSeq lists it as uncharacterized. NCBI's taxonomy places the organism in Eukaryota, Metazoa, Chordata, Aves, Anseriformes, Anatidae. The transcript is spliced from 5 exons. The record is from RefSeq and is a predicted model, not a curated record.
AACGCUCCGUGAUUGGCUCGGAGGAACCCAGGGCGGAAGUGCCGUGCAGGGCUUGCCAGCACUAUGGGCGGAGGCUGCCGGGCCGGGCCGGCGAGGCGCGGUGCAGCAACGAGCAAACUGUGUACGAUCCCGGGAGCAUAGGCACGGUCUUGUGUAGCAUUGUCAUUCUGCCCCACCGCUCUGAUAUCUAACAAAGUAAUACAUUCUGGAUGUUGUCUACAAAUUCUUUCCUUCCUUAUGUAAGAGGUCGAUGCGCGUCGCCUAGUUUGUCACAGAGCGUCACUGAAGUACUGUUUUAUUUGUAUUUGUGAAGACAGCAGAAUCAAAGACAGCAGGUCGGUGACUCCCACCGAGAUGGUCAUUAAGAUAAAACAGUGAAGUUUCUAGCAUAUAUUAAAAAGCCUGCAGGAAUUAGCACAGCUUGCAGGAAAGCGUGUUGGAAAGAGAUGAUAUUUGAGAGCAAGCGUUAAAAUGUCGUCUUUUUACCAAGACUGAUGAGAACUGAUGCGUCUGUCCUGCGUUUGGAUAGAAGAUGCCCUGGAUUUAAAGACGGUGUAUAUUAAAUGAAGUAUGAGAAGAAACAGCUUCUUCGGACACUUGCGCUCCUCUUCUUCAGCUCGUGGAGAAGGCUGACAGCCUGUCUCACUCUUGUCAGUGCUAUCCCACCAGCUCCUUUAGGAGCCCAGCACCGCGUUUGGCCUGUUGCGAUCUUCCCGCUCCCCUCAUUUCUGUGCUGCAACGCCACCAUCCACAAGAAGUCAGACAGGAGAAAAGCUCUUUCCAGAGAGAUGGAGAAGGAAUUAAUUAGACCUCUGCCUCAUCCUGCAAGACCAGAAGACAUGGAGUAACUGUAAGCUGCGAUUCUCAGGAGACAUACUAAGAGUCUCGGGUUCCUUUUCUGCCCGCCCCCCAAGGCCUUGGGCACGUUGGGUUCACCCUGGGAAGGGCACGUUGCUCAGGGCAGUUAUUUCCUCCCCUAGACGACGUGGGGUACAUUUCUCUGCUGCACUUGUGGUUUUCCACCUGUAGUUUUUCACUUGUGGUUUUCCACGUGGUUCGCACUGCUUCCAUUAUUGAGAAAACGGUUUGGGAAGCUGUGUCUGCCACUUCUCAGGAUUUUCUGCCACCACCUGCUGGCAAAAAAAAUCAGUAACGCAGGUGGAGCCAUGUAGGACUUCUCAGAGGUAAGCCUUCAACGUACGGGGACCCCUAAACUCAGUGAGCCAAGCACGCAAGACAAAUGUCCGUGGCACAAAGAUCAAGGACGACUUCUCAGAGGUAAGCAGCUUUCCCUUUGUUUUCCCAUCCUCUCAGGAGCCCUCUUUAUGAUGCUUGUACACACUUCAGGCUCACAACACUCAUUUUCUCCUCUACUUAGUAUUCCUAGUCCCUGGCUAACCCGUCCUCCCUCCCCCCACUUUCCAAAGACCUACGUGCUCUGCUCAGGUCCCUCCUGAGGUCUUACAGAUCUUUUAAAUCUGCUCAGCAUUCUUUCCGGCUUGUUCUGUGCCAUUAUUUUUUCCCUGCUCCUUUUGAGAAUGUCUGUACCCUUUUCAGAUCUCGAUUGGGUUGGCUUUUUUGAACCCAUCUGCAUAGCCUUUUGUUUUUUAGAUAGUCUACUAAGGUAUGUUACUUCUCUGGUGAGUUAUUUUACUACAUUGAAUUGUAUUUUUGUGGUUUGUAAUCUGUUACACUCCUAGAUUAUUUCUACCUAUGUAAAGAAAGGUUUCAGCUAAUUACAGUCAAAAACAGUUUUAGUUACCUACUUGGUAAUAUUGUCGUUUCAAUAAUCAGGACUGAAGCAAAAGCACAGGAAUUGUUGCCUCUAGUAACGCUUCACACACUGUUGAGCUAAGCCAAAUAAAAAACGCAGCUGCUGCUCUCUUUAUCCCUUCCUGUGCUUUGCCCCUCCUCUUUCCCAGGUGAUUGGGGCAGGGUGCCGGGUGGGGCCUAAUGGUAUAUGAGCCGCAGGUGUCCUGUCAGAGAGCUCAUUCUGCCUGAGCUGCUCUUUGGGUAGGUAAACCUUAGGAGGAAUCGGUCAAAGGAAACAGCAACUGUCAAGUUCUUGUUCGGCAACUCGGUGACUGGUUUGAUCUACUUCUCAGAUGUAGAGGCAAAUGGACUGCUCUUUUGAAAUGAUAAAAUAAAAAACAUGAAUUUUGUCAAAUGUG